UAUUUAGUAGUUAAAUUGAUAACAUUAAAUUGCAAAUUUAAAAUUAAAUUAAUAUUUCUAAAUUU
This 65-nucleotide transfer RNA is filed under the name Megalodontes cephalotes. RNAcentral's name for it is "tRNA-Cys". The record is from RNAcentral. Lineage: Eukaryota; Metazoa; Arthropoda; Insecta; Hymenoptera; Megalodontesidae.